Oncorhynchus mykiss (rainbow trout) is the source of this 1486-nucleotide non-coding RNA. NCBI's taxonomy places the organism in Eukaryota, Metazoa, Chordata, Actinopteri, Salmoniformes, Salmonidae. The record is from RefSeq and is a predicted model, not a curated record.
GACAGGCAGGGAGACCCGGAAGAAGCAUAGCGGGGGGGAGGGUGCUAUUUUUUCCGACCUACAAUUGAAUGGGAAAAAUCAUGCAAUAUGUCUGGCUCAAUAUGCAACUCACUUUAUUUAUAGCUGAUUUUCCGCCACAAAGUUUCCAUUUUGCAACAGGAUCUUUCCCUUGUGCACUGAAGAUCUCUACAGCAGCUCCACCCUUUGAAGGAAAUGCCAUUUGUUUUCAUGAGUGUUUGAAAGGGCUGGAGCAGUGUGCAGGUUGUGUGUGCCAGAGACCAGCGGCAGAUGGGCCACAUCUACAACAAUCCUCACUACAUCAAGCAAACAGGACGCAAAACUGAAUCAAAGAAAACUUGCUACAUAGCUCACAACAUGGACAAAAUAACGUUCAUUGUCUCAGGGUCUGUGGGGUCGUCAGAGUCCAGGCAGGUUUCAUAUGUACUCUUCUUGGCUUCACCCUGUGGAAGCCGGGCCUUGUUGGAGCGGAGAGGUCGGGGAGAGGUUACUAGCACUUUCACCUGCCUCAAAGUCUGCUACCACCCAGAGGAUGCCCACAGACACAAUAGCUGUGAGUCCCAGGAUGAGCAGAGUGCCCCUACUUUGUUGCAGGAGUAACAUCUUCUUCCUGCUCUGCUGCAUGCUUGCAGUGGGAGGCGUGGAUCCAGGUGUCUUUUCCUAAGAACUUUACAUCUGUUACGGGGGUGAGGGCGAUCUGAUGUGGUCCGUUCCACCUGGGUUUUAAAGGUUCUUUACCUCUGUGGUGCCUCCUGCCCAUUACCCAACUUCCAGACUGGAGAUCGCAAUGUGGACGGUCAUCUGGGAGGGUCUGGGCAUCAGAGACCUGUGAGCGAACAGCUCGGAAACAGUUAGUCAGAGAGCUAAACAGUACUUCAUCAUAGUGUCAUCCAACAGAUGCAGAUCUGGGAUAGCACAUGGAGGGGAUGCUGGGGUUCUCAUAGGCCUUGCCAAAUCAAUUUGCAUAUUUUACUAAUGGGCCCCAGGGAACUGGUAGUCAAGACUAAGAAGUGGGUACUCGUUUUCCUGCAUUGUGUUCUUGGCAAAUCGGUGCAUGUAGUACGUUUUCUGCAUGCACUGACCGUUCACUUUUUGGACACAUGACUCACACCGUGAUACAUGCUUCCAAGGUAACCCAACAGUGUCGGUGGCAAAUCGUAAAACCCUCCCCAUAUGUAGCCAACAGAGUAUGAAAUUGAUAUAAUUGGUUACAGUAAUCAACCACUUAUUAGAGUAGCUUGUUAUUGGCUGGAGUACACAACAGUGCUUUCUCUCUCAGCCCUGGGGAGGAAACCCUCCCUAACCAGGGAGCUCAAUGGAUUCUUACCAACAUUUAAUUAGUUUCAGAAACCACCUACAGAAUGACAUUUCUAUGAGGGCAUAGGAAUGUGUAGGAAUAGCUUUGCUUUACUGCCCACCUACAUUUCUUCAGAAGGAAAAAAAUAAAAAUAAACUAAUUACAACCCUU